GUGAAUCAUCAAAUUUUUGAACGCAUAUUGCACUCUCUGGGAUUCCGGAGAGUAUGCCUAUUUGAGGGUCAUUUGAAAUAAUAUAAAUUCCAAGAUUUCUCGGAAUUUAAAAUGGGUUGUCCAUUUUUUGUGGUCGCCUAAAAUCCAAUACAAGCUCUUUUUCUUGUGUUGCGUGAUACUUUCAGUUACCUCGCUAUUUAACCAGAAAUCAUCGUGUGUGUUAUGAAUGUUGCAAGUAAUAAAAAAUGCCAUAGAUUUAUCUCAUGCGAACUAGAAAUCGAAUAAUGACC
RNAcentral lists this unclassified non-coding RNA (290 nucleotides) under Ambisporaceae sp. RNAcentral's name for it is "partial contains 5.8S ribosomal RNA and internal transcribed spacer 2". The stretch from base 1 to 71 matches the Rfam family "5.8S ribosomal RNA", at positions 84 to 154 of the family's 154-position model. Lineage: Eukaryota; Fungi; Glomeromycota; Glomeromycetes; Archaeosporales; Ambisporaceae. The record is from RNAcentral.